Cyprinus carpio carpio is the source of this 555-nucleotide long non-coding RNA. Lineage: Eukaryota; Metazoa; Chordata; Actinopteri; Cypriniformes; Cyprinidae. The record is from Ensembl.
AAACGGGGCGGCAACACAGCUGACAAGUAGCGAAUCUCUCCGUCUCUCACUGAUGUUUUUACUGCUUUCAGAAAUGGUUCAGUGUCAUGGGAAUAAGUCCGUUAGCAUCACAACCGUGAGCUAACAGAGGCUAACUAUAAGAGCAGAGUUGGAGUGGACCUCUUGUUGAAGAACUUCUCCAGGCACUAUGAACCAUCUGACUAUCCUGUAUGUCUUACAAGGCCAUCCUGUUUAACACUGCACUGAGGACACUACAACCAGAGAGAUGCUGUCAUGAAACGCCAUGAAAAGGCAACUGCUGGACACCUGGGACAGGCCAUCAAUUCCAAGUUGGCGUCAAUUCCCUGUUAGAGUUUAGAGUUGUCUAAUAGAGAGGGUGAAGGAAGAACAUCCAAACCCUGCCCCUGCUUCCUUCAAGAUUUUUUAUGGAUUUAUAUAAUGGUGUUUUUUCAUAAAGUAAAGGCAGUGGCAAAAUUAACAUGACACUACUUUGAUGUUUUGUUCUACAAAUUAAACCACACACACACUCCAAAAACACCAAUUUUGAUACAAUUU